This 301-nucleotide ribosomal RNA is filed under the name uncultured bacterium. RNAcentral describes it as "partial 16S ribosomal RNA". It matches the Rfam family "Bacterial small subunit ribosomal RNA", at positions 509 to 807 of the family's 1533-position model. The record is from RNAcentral.
CAGUAGCCGCGGUAAUACAGAGGGUGCGAGCGUUGAUCGGAUUUACUGGGCGUAAAGCGUGCGUAGGCGGCUUUUUAAGUCGGAUGUGAAAUCCCUGAGCUUAACUUAGGAAUUGCAUUCGAUACUGGGAAGCUAGAGUAUGGGAGAGGAUGGUAGAAUUCCAGGUGUAGCGGUGAAAUGCGUAGAGAUCUGGAGGAAUACCGAUGGCGAAGGCAGCCAUCUGGCCUAAUACUGACGCUGAGGUACGAAAGCAUGGGGAGCAAACAGGAUUAGAUACCCCAGUAGUCCCUGUCUCUUAUAC